CGAAAGCCUGACGGAGCAAGACCGCGUGAGGGAGGAAGGCUCUUGGGUUGUAAACCUCUUUUCUCAGGGAAGAAGCUCUGACGGUACCUGAGGAAUCAGCCUCGGCUAACUCCGUGCCAGCAGCCGCGGUAAUACGGAGGAGGCAAGCGUUAUCCGGAAUUAUUGGGCGUAAAGCGUCCGCAGGUGGCGAUUCAAGUCUGCUGUCAAAGCACGGGGCUUAACUCCGUUAAGGCAGUGGAAACUGAAUGGCUAGAGUGCCGUAGGGGUAGAGGGAAUUCCUGGUGUAGCGGUGAAAUGCGUAGAUAUCAGGAAGAACACCGGUGGCGAAAGCGCUCUACUGGGCCGUGACUGACACUGAGGGACGAAAGCUAGGGGAGCG
RNAcentral lists this ribosomal RNA (379 nucleotides) under uncultured cyanobacterium. Its description in RNAcentral is "bacterial SSU rRNA". It matches the Rfam family "Bacterial small subunit ribosomal RNA", at positions 376 to 770 of the family's 1533-position model. Lineage: Bacteria; Bacillati; Cyanobacteriota. The record is from RNAcentral.